Molecule: ribosomal RNA, 252 nt
Filed under: uncultured bacterium
Lineage: Bacteria
Description: partial 16S ribosomal RNA
Rfam family: Bacterial small subunit ribosomal RNA
Source: RNAcentral
UACGGAGGAUGCGAGCGUUAUCCGGAUUUAUUGGGUUUAAAGGGUGCGUAGGCGGACUGUCAAGUCAGCGGUAAAAUUGAGAGGCUCAACCUCUUCCCGCCGUUGAAACUGGUGGUCUUGAGUGGAUGAGAAGUACGCGGAAUGCGUGGUGUAGCGGUGAAUUGCAUAGAUAUCACGCAGAACUCCGAUUGCGAAGGCAGCGUACCGGCAUCCAACUGACGCUGAGGCACGAAAGCGUGGGGAUCAAACAGG